This 477-nucleotide ribosomal RNA is filed under the name uncultured organism. Its description in RNAcentral is "partial 16S ribosomal RNA". It matches the Rfam family "Bacterial small subunit ribosomal RNA", at positions 331 to 799 of the family's 1533-position model. The record is from RNAcentral.
GUACACUCCUACGGGAGGCAGCAGUGGGGAAUAUUGCACAAUGGGCGCAAGCCUGAUGCAGCCAUGCCGCGUGUAUGAAGAAGGCCUUCGGGUUGUAAAGUACUUUCAGCGGGGAGGAAGGCGAUAAGGUUAAUAACCUUGUCGAUUGACGUUACCCGCAGAAGAAGCACCGGCUAACUCCGUGCCAGCAGCCGCGGUAAUACGGAGGGUGCAAGCGUUAAUCGGAAUUACUGGGCGUAAAGCGCACGCAGGCGGUCUGUCAAGUCGGAUGUGAAAUCCCCGGGCUCAACCUGGGAACUGCAUUCGAAACUGGCAGGCUAGAGUCUUGUAGAGGGGGGUAGAAUUCCAGGUGUAGCGGUGAAAUGCGUAGAGAUCUGGAGGAAUACCGGUGGCGAAGGCGGCCCCCUGGACAAAGACUGACGCUCAGGUGCGAAAGCGUGGGGAGCAAACAGGAUUAGAAACCCUUGUAGUCCCAUG